UGGGGAAUAUUGGACAAUGGGGGAAACCCUGAUCCAGCAAUGCCGCGUGAGUGAAGAAGGCCUUAGGGUUGUAAAGCUCUUUCGCCCGCGAAGAUAAUGACGGUAGCGGGAGAAGAAGCCCCGGCUAACUCCGUGCCAGCAGCCGCGGUAAUACGGAGGGUGCAAGCGUUAUCCGGAUUCACUGGGUUUAAAGGGUGCGUAGGUGGGCAGAUAAGUCAGUGGUGAAAUCUUCCGGCUUAACCGGGAAACUGCCGUUGAUACUAUUUGGCUUGAAUAUUGCGGAGGUAAGCGGAAUAUGUCAUGUAGCGGUGAAAUGCUUAGAUAUGACAUAGAACACCAGUUGCGAAGGCAGCUUACUACACAAUCAUUGACACUGAGGCACGAAAGCGUGGGUAGCGAACA
This 402-nucleotide ribosomal RNA is filed under the name uncultured bacterium. RNAcentral describes it as "bacterial SSU rRNA". It matches the Rfam family "Bacterial small subunit ribosomal RNA", at positions 355 to 774 of the family's 1533-position model. The record is from RNAcentral.